CUGACCGAUAGUGAACCAGUACCGUGAGGGAAAGGCGAAAAGAACCCCGGCGAGGGGAGUGAAAAAGAACCUGAAACCGUGUACGUACAAGCAGUGGGAGCCUCUUAAUGGGGUGACUGCGUACCUUUUGUAUAAUGGGUCAGCGACUUAUAUUCUGUAGCAAGGUUAACCGAAUAGGGGAGCCGAAGGGAAACCGAGUCUUAACUGGGCGUUAAGUUGCAGGGUAUAGACCCGAAACCCGGUGAUCUAGCCAUGGGCAGGUUGAAGGUUGGGUAACACUAACUGGAGGACCGAACCGACUAAUGUUGAAAAAUUAGCGGAUGACUUGUGGCUGGGGGUGAAAGGCCAAUCAAACCGGGAGAUAGCUGGUUCUCCCCGAAAGCUAUUUAGGUAGCGCCUCGUGAAUUCAUCUCCGGGGGUAGAGCACUGUUUCGGCAAGGGGGUCAUCCCGACUUACCAACCCGAUGCAAACUGCGAAUACCGGAGAAUGUUAUCACGGGAGACACACGGCGGGUGCUAACGUCCGUCGUGAAGAGGGAAACAACCCAGACCGCCAGCUAAGGUCCCAAAGUCAUGGUUAAGUGGGAAACGAUGUGGGAAGGCCCAGACAGCCAGGAUGUUGGCUUAGAAGCAGCCAUCAUUUAAAGAAAGCGUAAUAGCUCACUGGUCGAGUCGGCCUGCGCGGAAGAUGUAACGGGGCUAAACCAUGCACCGAAGCUGCGGCAGCGACACUAUGUGUUGUUGGGUAGGGGAGCG
This 756-nucleotide ribosomal RNA is filed under the name Escherichia coli. Its description in RNAcentral is "partial 23S ribosomal RNA". It matches the Rfam family "Bacterial large subunit ribosomal RNA", at positions 480 to 1238 of the family's 2925-position model. Lineage: Bacteria; Pseudomonadati; Pseudomonadota; Gammaproteobacteria; Enterobacterales; Enterobacteriaceae. The record is from RNAcentral.